GAUGAACGCUGGCGGCGUGCCUAAUACAUGCAAGUCGAGCGAACAGACGAGGAGCUUGCUUCUCUGACGUUAGCGGCGGACGGGUGAGUAACACGUGGAUAACCUACCUAUAAGACUGGGAUAACUUCGGGAAACCGGAGCUAAUACCGGAUAAUAUAUUGAACCGCAUGGUUCAUUAGUGAAAGACGGUUUUGCUGUCACUUAUAGAUGGAUCCGCGCCGCAUUAGCUAGUUGGUAAGGUAACGGCUUACCAAGGCAACGAUGCGUAGCCGACCUGAGAGGGUGAUCGGCCACACUGGAACUGAGACACGGUCCAGACUCCUACGGGAGGCAGCAGUAGGGAAUCUUCCGCAAUGGGCGAAAGCCUGACGGAGCAACGCCGCGUGAGUGAUGAAGGUCUUCGGAUCGUAAAACUCUGUUAUUAGGGAAGAACAAAUGUGUAAGUAACUAUGCACGUCUUGACGGUACCUAAUCAGAAAGCCACGGCUAACUACGUG
RNAcentral lists this ribosomal RNA (497 nucleotides) under uncultured bacterium. RNAcentral describes it as "partial 16S ribosomal RNA". It matches the Rfam family "Bacterial small subunit ribosomal RNA", at positions 28 to 507 of the family's 1533-position model. The record is from RNAcentral.